UCGAUAUGGGUAGAUUUCAUAGC
This 23-nucleotide microRNA is filed under the name Heligmosomoides polygyrus. RNAcentral's name for it is "hpo-miR-10064-3p". Lineage: Eukaryota; Metazoa; Nematoda; Chromadorea; Rhabditida; Heligmosomidae. The record is from miRBase by way of RNAcentral.